RNAcentral lists this ribosomal RNA (689 nucleotides) under uncultured Thalassiosirales. RNAcentral describes it as "eukaryotic LSU rRNA". It matches the Rfam family "Eukaryotic large subunit ribosomal RNA", at positions 1 to 678 of the family's 3401-position model. The record is from RNAcentral. Lineage: Eukaryota; Bacillariophyta; Thalassiosirophyceae; Thalassiosirales.
UAUGGAUCUCAGAUUAAGUAAGACUACCCGCUGAAUUUAAGCAUAUAAUUAAGCGGAGGAAAAGAAACUAACAAGGAUUCCCCUAGUAACGGCGAGUGAAGCGGGAAGAGCUCACCAUGUGAAUCUGCGUAACCUUCGGGUGCGCCGAAUUGUGGUCUGGAGAAGUAUUGUCGGCCGAAUUUCCGGGCCAAGUCUCUUGGAAAAGGGCAGCUGAGAGGGUGAAACUCCCGUUCUUGCCUGGGAUUAUUGACGUGUCAUAGCAUGCGCCUUCUACGAGUCGAGUUGCUUGGGAUUGCAGCUCAAAGCGGGUGGUAAAUUCCAUCUAAAGCUAAAUAUCGGUGGGAGACCGAUAGCGUACAAGUACCGUGAGGGAAAGAUGCAAAGAACUUUGAAAAGAGAGCUAAAGAGUACCUGAAAUUGCUGAAAGGGAAGCGAAGGAAACCAGUGUCGUGCGCGAUUAUAUUUCUCCUGCUGCUUGCGGUAGGGGCGCUGUGGUCGUGCGUGGGCCAGCAUCGGUUUGGUAGCUCGGGGCAGAUGGCAGUGCGGGAGGUAGUCUGUUGCUUGCGGCAGAUGUUUAACCGUGCUGUUUCGUUUUCCUGGGUGAGACCGAGGUCAGUCUAGCAAUAGCUCGUGAUGCUGGCGAAAUGGUUUUCUUUACCCCGUCUUGAAACACGGACCAAGGAGUCUAA